GGUUGUCUUCCUGGUUCAUCCUCCAAUCCCUUCUUGCUGCAAGCCUCCAAUCCCGCACCUCUACCAUCUCAUUCGUCCAAUUGAUCGCCGCCCUAUGCAUCGGCCAACUACUCCGCUAACAACCCACUGCUCUGUCGUGCUCGGAGCACUAGGGUUUUGACCUUCUAUCCCCAACUCAUCUCCGUCGUGCUCGUGCACGCCGACCGGUAGAACUCCGGCCCUCCACAUCCGCGCGCAUCUUCGUCAUUCAUUGCUGGGAACGAGUCCUCCAGCCAUGGCGUUGGUGUCGUUGGGGGAGGAAGACGGGGUGAGGAUGAGUCCCGGCGUCCUGGAGUUGGUGGACACGCCAUCGCCUACAGCGGGGACUUCCGCAAGGCCACGGACUACUUCGGCGUCCUCUACGAUACCGCAGCCCUCGCGCUAUCCGCUUUCACCGCCGAGGCCAUCCACCGCAACCCCGGAAACUACACUGUCUGGCAUUUCAGGCGUGUUAUUCUAGAGCGACUAGAUGAUGAUUUGCUACAAGAACUCACAGCCCGAGGAGGCUUGGCCUAGGUUGCAUCACUACUGUUGCCGCUAUGCUCCAUGCGGAUGCUUGGAAAAGGGAAUGGGAAAUUACAGUAAGAUACAUUGUCUCAUUUAUCAUAGUUGCUUCAGUAAUACAUUGCAUAGUCUUUGCAAACAAAUUAAAUCUACAAGAGCCAAUGAAAUAUAUUCACGAUUUUCUGCAUAUAAUUAAUGUGUUGUAUAACAUUUUCCAUGAUUGUGAGGCUCGCAGCCAAUUUCUAGAAGCUUAAUCUUAUCGGCACAUAAGAGGUCUGCAUUCUCUGUGGUGUUUCUCAUAUAAAAUUAGACAUCUCUUUCUACAAAGAAGCCAUCAAUUGUACAGAAAACAUAUGUAUUGCUUAGAAUUGAUUCAGCUUCAUGCCAAUAGGUAUCUCAGUGCUAAUUA
This is a long non-coding RNA of Lolium rigidum, 952 nucleotides long. RefSeq lists it as uncharacterized. The record is from RefSeq and is a predicted model, not a curated record. The transcript has 2 exons. Lineage: Eukaryota; Viridiplantae; Streptophyta; Magnoliopsida; Poales; Poaceae.